AGUGAACGCUGGCGGCAGGCCUAACACAUGCAAGUCGAACGGCAGCACAGUAAGAGCUUGCUCUUACGGGUGGCGAGUGGCGGACGGGUGAGGAAUACAUCGGAAUCUACUUUUUCGUGGGGGAUAACGUAGGGAAACUUACGCCAAUACCGCAUACGACGUACGGGUGAAAGCAGGGGAUCUUUGGACCUUGUGCGAUUGGAUGAGCCGAUGUCGGAUUAGCUAGUUGGCGGGGUAAAGGCCCACCAAGGCGACGAUCCGUAGCUGGUCUGAGAGGAUGAUCGGCCACACUGGAACUGAGACACGGUCCAGACUCCUACGGGAGGCAGCAGUGGGGAAUAUUGGACAAAGGGCGCAAGCCUGAUCCAGCCAUACCGCGUGUGUGAAGAAGGCCUUCGGGUUGUAAAGCCCUUUUGUUGGGAAAGAAAAGCAGCAGGUUAAUACCCCGCUGUUCUGACGGUACCCAAAGAAUAAGCACCGGCUAACUUCGUG
Molecule: ribosomal RNA, 492 nt
Filed under: uncultured bacterium
Lineage: Bacteria
Description: partial 16S ribosomal RNA
Rfam family: Bacterial small subunit ribosomal RNA
Source: RNAcentral